UUUAAGUACAGUCAUGAAUUUCCGUGUCCAACUUUGAUCGUCUUUCUUAUUUGACCUUUUUUUUAUGUUUAGUACAUUUAUUAUUAUUAGAUGAUAAAACAUGAAUAUUACUUUAUGCAUGACUUAUGUUCUUAAAUUUUUUUCAUAAAAUUUUCAAAUAAGACGAACGAUCAAGAUUUGAUGCGGAAACUUAUGAUUGCGCUUAAA
This is a non-coding RNA of Oryza glumipatula, 207 nucleotides long. The record is from Rfam. NCBI's taxonomy places the organism in Eukaryota, Viridiplantae, Streptophyta, Magnoliopsida, Poales, Poaceae.